Molecule: RNA transcript, 1338 nt
Organism: Medicago truncatula (barrel medic)
Lineage: Eukaryota; Viridiplantae; Streptophyta; Magnoliopsida; Fabales; Fabaceae
Exons: 5
Source: RefSeq, a predicted model, not a curated record
CUUGAAUGCCAAUUGAAGUUGGAGACAUAACCCCCUGCUUUUGGUGUUUCACAGCUGUCACCUCCAUUACUCUCAUCUUCUAUUCUCUCUAAACCAAAAGUAGAUCCAAAUACUCCCUGCUACGUGAUAAUCUUCUCCCCUUUCAUCAUUAUUCUUGCUUUUCGACAUCUUCUCCCCUUCCACCGCGAGAUCUCCCUGCUGCGUGAUAAUCUUUCUCACUUUUUCUCAUUUUCUGGUUUUUUUAUCUUUUGAAAUAACGUUGUGUAGUGACUCGGUCCGGUUCACCAAACCGGCCGAGUCACCGAGUUCAAGCGAGUCACGCCGGUUCUCACCGGUUCGACUGCACAACCGAUCCAACAAGUAGAUCGAACUGGACACACCACCGGUUCACGGUUCAACCGGUCUGACCGGCAGGUCCGAACCGGUUUUUAAAACUAUGUGCCAAACUUGUGAGGAUAGGAGGAUGAAAUUUGCAAUUAACAGAAACAAUCAAAUAUGAUUAACUAAUCUCAUCCAUUCACUAAAUCUAAGGGUAGACAACCAUGGAGGCUCAUAUUUUUGAUGGAGCAUGAUAUACGACUAUACGAGGAUUAACUCAACCCAACUUCGUUGAACGUUAGUGUUUAGUGUUCCUCGUAUCUCCCUCUCUUCUGCUUCCUCUCUCACCAGUUGUGGAAGAUAUGAAUUGGAUUCAGCGAAAGAUCCACCUUUACAAUGUGACAUUUGGGCUUUUUAUGUUGGAUUGGUGGGAGCGUUGUACUUUUAAUAUUUUGGUGAUUGUACUAAUGUGUUUUGUAGUACGCUACAUAGCCCAGUUCAUCAAGAGCAAAAUACCAUUCUAAUCUCAGCAUCUGAUUUAGCUCCAGUUUCCCAUUCUGCAUAUGCAAGUGUAGAAAUGAACACACUUUCUUAACCUUUAAAUAAAGUUGCAUUCAAAAGAUGAAUGCUUGAGAUCUUCAAUUAGUCUGUACUCUAUUGCUGAAGCUUCAUAGACUGCAAUUCUAACAUUAGCAGGUAUGUCUUUUUGUGGUAAAGAAGCAAAAUCAUUUUCUUGAGAAGAUGCCAAUGUAGAUUUUUACUUGAAGAUUCAAAUUAGUUGCAGCCAGUGUAAGUGGCAUACAGCUGGUUAGGGAAUAUAUGUUAUAGCAGUUAUGUACCGGCUUUGAAGUUUCUUAAAGCGGCCAAAAAAAUUAGCGAUGUACACGUCUGUGAUACACCUUCAUGAAUGUUAUUUAAACAUUAAUUUGUUUAUAAGGUUGUUUAUGAUGUUGAUUGGCAUUUUCUACAUUGUAAUAUUAUUUUAGAUGUUCAUUUUCUGUUUGUUUUGAGCAUUUGAAA